UACGUAGGGUGCGAGCGUUGUCCGGAUUUACUGGGCGUAAAGGGCGUGCAGGCGGUCUGUUAAGUGCAGGGUGAAAGCUCCCGGCUCAACUGGGAGAGGUCCUUGCAUACUGGCGGACUUGAGGGGGGUAGAGGAAAGUGGAAUUCCCGGUGUAGUGGUGAUAUGCGUAGAUAUCGGGAGGAACACCUGUGGCGAAGGCGGCUUUCUGGGCCAUACCUGACGCUGAGACGCGAAAGCGUGGGGAGCGAACCGG
Molecule: ribosomal RNA, 253 nt
Filed under: uncultured bacterium
Lineage: Bacteria
Description: partial 16S ribosomal RNA
Rfam family: Bacterial small subunit ribosomal RNA
Source: RNAcentral